UAACAAGUGGCAGAACCUUGAGUCUGGCGCCAUCUUGUGUUCUAACGGCGGAAAUGGCGGCCUCUCCCUUAAAAUCAGACUGUGAUAAUUAUUUGAAGAAAAGGUGGUGUUUGGACGCAGCUGUUGAGUCCAGUGCAGUGUAGCUGCUGAAUACCCAGGAGCACUCCUAGAGACCACAGCAGCGCAGGUGAUGGGAGCUGACAAGAGCGGGUCCACCAGUCUCUGGUACAGGUUGCAGUGUGAGGCAGGGAAAGAAGAAAAACUUCCUUGUGAAAGUAGGAAUGCAAAGUAUUCCCCACAAUGCCACACUGCUGCAAUUACUCCAGCGCCUGGUGCCGGGCCAAGACAAUGAGAUGACAGCUUGUGGUGUUGAGGGGGAGAGCAGUUCAACUCCCAUCUCUCCUGCUGUAUCUACACUGAAACCUUGUGUCUUGGACCUCUAAACUGCUGUGUCCAAAAUGAAUGUAUUUCCAUCUGGUAUUCACAUCAGUUGGUCUCUAAACAUCAUAACCCAAUAAAACCUUGCCUGUCAUUGAAAUGUUUUUUGAUUAAUGAGCAAAGGUUUUUCGCUGGGUGAAAUGUUGUGCUCGUAUUGGUAUAUAUUAACUACUCCAGUACUUAUGUCUACUAGAUGUCCAUCUCUCUGUUCUUUCUGCUCACCAUGCUGACUAUUAGUUUUUCACUCUCACUUGGUAAUUAACUGGCACAGUCCUCCUCUGUGAAAAGAGACAGAAAAGAAAAGAGGCGAGAUUAGCCAGGCUGGGGGGGAGUGAGG
Molecule: long non-coding RNA, 775 nt
Filed under: Sparus aurata (gilthead seabream)
Lineage: Eukaryota; Metazoa; Chordata; Actinopteri; Spariformes; Sparidae
Description: lncRNA (ENSSAUG00010011614.1)
Source: RNAcentral